RNAcentral lists this long non-coding RNA (399 nucleotides) under Musa acuminata (dwarf banana). RNAcentral's name for it is "long non-coding RNA (MACU_LNC008814)". Lineage: Eukaryota; Viridiplantae; Streptophyta; Magnoliopsida; Zingiberales; Musaceae. The record is from RNAcentral.
AGCAUUAGGGGGCCGGUGAAGGCAAAAAAGGACUAGGGGGUCAAGGUAGCCCCCCUGGUGGUGCUACAUGAUCUAGCGACGAUGGCUUUCGGGGAAGAGAAGGUGCGGACAACAAGGCAAUGGGACAACAGGGUGGUGACGGAGAAGAACCGGGUGGAGAAAGUGGCGGCGCUAUCGCUGAACGACAUAUGCAAGAGCAGGAGAUGCCAAGGGGGGGAUAUGUUGAUGACCAGCGACAAUAUCAUUGACGAGAUGCUAAUUGUAUGCCGAUCCUCGGCUUCGAGAUCGCCCUCAGGUGCUAACGUAAGAUGAGCUUUCAUUUCUAAGCAAUUCUUCUCAUAUCAAUGAGGAACAAGGAUUAUUAUUAUUUUUUUAGACUCGUGUGCAUCUCCUUCAUAG